RNA transcript from Mesocricetus auratus (golden hamster), 2237 nucleotides. It is a transcript of the gene named F-box/WD repeat-containing protein 12, with no coding region annotated. Lineage: Eukaryota; Metazoa; Chordata; Mammalia; Rodentia; Cricetidae. The transcript has 11 exons. The record is from RefSeq and is a predicted model, not a curated record.
UGACUGACUGACCAGAUACUGUCUUUCCCUGUCCUUAUUCUGGGUCUGGAAUGAGGUAUUAAUACUGACUGACUGACCAGAUACUGUCUUUCCCUGUCCUUAUUCUAGGUCUGGAAUGAGGUAUUAAUACUUACUGACUGACCAGAUACUGUCUUUCCCUGUCCUUAUUCUAGGUCUGGAAUGAGGUAUUAAUACUUACUGACUGACCAGAUACUGUCUUUCCCUGUCCUUAUUCUAGGUCUGGAAUGAGGUAUUAAUACUUACUGACUGACCAGAUACUGUCUUUCCCUGUCCUUAUUCUAGGUCUGGAAUGAGGUAUUAAUACUUACUGACUGACCAGAUACUGUCUUUCCCUGUCCUUAUUCUAGGUCUGGAAUGAGGUAUUAAUACUUACUGACUGACCAGAUACUGUCUUUCCCUGUCCUUAUUCUAGGUCUGGAAUGAGGUAUUAAUACUUACUGACUGACCAGAUACUGUCUUUCCCUGUCCUUAUUCUAGGUCUGGAAUGAGGCAUUAAUACUUACUGACUGACCAGAUACUGUCUUUCCCUGUCCUUAUUCUAGGUCUGGAAUGAGGCAUUAAUACUUACUGACUGACCAGAUACUGUCUUUCCCUGUCCUUAUUCUAGGUCUGGAAUGAGGUAUUAAUACUUACUGACUGACCAGAUACUGUCUUUCCCUGUCCUUAUUCUAGGUCUGGAAUGAGGUAUCAAUGACCAAGGAGCUGUGGAGGCAGCUGUGUCUGAGCCGCUGGGCCUCCUGCAGAGCCUUCCCAGUGGUCCUGGGCACACAAACAUGGAAGCAGUACUAUUUCUGCCGGUCUGAGCUGGAGUUCCGUGUGGAAUCUGGGCGGCCACAGGACUUCAUCAGCAAAGCUAUUUCUGGGCAUGAAGGAAAGAUAGAUCAGCUGGCCUACGUCUCGCCCCAUGAGUACCGCUUUGAUGAAAUGGCAAGGUCCGUGGUUUGCACUGUGUCUUCAGACUGUACCGUGCGUGCCUGGGAUCUUCAUCAGGGCACAGAGAUCUGGUCCAGCCCUGUGCAGCCUGCUCCCCUGGUGAGUUUGGUGGCCUAUCCUCUGCUGCAGCUGGUUGUCACAGUGGACACACAGGGCUUGAUCAUCGGGUGGAAAGCGGAUACGGGAUCUGAGUGGGCCUCGUUCUGCCUGCCGACCUCCUGCUCAUCCAUGGAGGCCUGUAGCCACCCAGAGGGCUCCUUCUUGAUGGUGGCCUGUGCUGCAGGGAACCUCUAUACGCUGACAGUGCCUCAGCUGCGAGUGGUCUCCAAAGUGGCCACAUUUCCUCACACCUCUGUGAGCCUCACAUGCUCACCUGACCAACAGUGGGUGUCUGUGUUGCCACAAGGGUCAGGUGUAGGCCCAAAGGUGUUUUUCACUCAGCCCUUGCUCCACCCAUUAGAAGACGAGCUUCCUGUCUCCACCACCCUCCCUGUCAGGCUGAGUUCCAGAGCCUGCUGGGCUCCUGAUGAGGCAGCCAGGCUGAUGGUGAUGCAUCGAGAUGACAGUGGCAUGCACUUGGCCAUCACUACCUUCGGUUUAAAGGCCAGCAAGUCCAGGGACAGAGUGAGCAUCCUGGCACAACAGCUGGCCAGCUUCCCCCUGCCGGGCACUAUGACUCCUCACCUCAUGCAGGGCCACGGCUCCCAAGUGAUCCUGCUGGCCUCCAGGUCAGAGCUGGUGCUAUUCACCAUACACGGCCUGCAGCUGGUGGCCUUCCGGGAUCACCAGAGGCCCAUCACGUCCAUGUGGGUGGAUCCGAACCGUGUCGUCACCUCUUCCUUGGACCUGUCCUUGCGUGUCUAUGUAUGGGAUAAGAAGAAUACAUGUCCCAUCCUCAAGAGCUGUUAUCAACUGCUCGGGGGGUCUCACAGAUGGGCCAGUGGAUUUACCCACGUGAAAAGUGACAGCAUGAGCAUUGCUGGGGUUGAAGCCAGAAGCAAUGGAACAAGUAUUCUGAGGUCAUAUUGCUUCAAAGUUCAGCUGAGCUAGACUCUGCCAGUUGAAGAUGCUCUUGCUUUGUGUGCAUGCAAACUCCUCACCAAAGAUGUUGUCAGCUGUGGGAAGUAAGCUGGUGCUAAGCAACGGGCCUAAGGCUUCUCAGAUUGCUGGUCACAGGCGGAGUGGACUGCGGCAGUGCUAGAGAGCCUGCUUGCUUACAGAGUCAGAACUGCACCAGAGCUGCUCUUGCUAUCCCGGCUGUCAUUAAAACAUUCUUAUCUGCC